RNAcentral lists this small nuclear RNA (145 nucleotides) under Castor canadensis (American beaver). Its description in RNAcentral is "U2 spliceosomal RNA (ENSCCNG00000022528.1)". The stretch from base 1 to 107 matches the Rfam family "U2 spliceosomal RNA". From Rfam's summary of the family: U2 is a small nuclear RNA (snRNA) component of the spliceosome (involved in pre-mRNA splicing). Complementary binding between U2 snRNA (in an area lying towards the 5' end but 3' to hairpin I) and the branchpoint sequence (BPS) of the intron results the bulging out of an unpaired adenosine, on the BPS, which initiates a nucleophilic attack at the intronic 5' splice site, thus starting the first of two transesterification reactions that mediate splicing. The record is from RNAcentral. Lineage: Eukaryota; Metazoa; Chordata; Mammalia; Rodentia; Castoridae.
GUCACUUCUUGGUCUUUUGGUUAAGAUCAAGUGUAGUAUCUGUUCUUAUCAGCUUAAUAUCUGGUAUGUCCUCUAUCUGAAGAUAAUAUAUUAAAUGACAAUGCUAUUUCCAAUGAAAGACUGAGCAUGGCUCUUUCCAUGCCAU